AAAAGUGUGUGUGGGAAAGCUACAGAAAAAGGUCUUCCAUCUGCAAACAUACAAAGGGAUGUUUUGAGACCUGCCAUUUUACAACCACCAGAAGAUGCUUUCUGUAGCCCUGCAAAUAUGAGGGNACCUGAAAGUGUCUCAGAGGAUAAGUGUGAGGAAGAAAAAAAGGUAUCCAUAGACAAGGAUUCUUGGACAGNUCACUCAGAAAAUCCACCUCUCUCUCUUCACAUUUCUGGUCCUAAAACUCUAGGG
Molecule: long non-coding RNA, 252 nt
Filed under: Salvator merianae (Argentine black and white tegu)
Lineage: Eukaryota; Metazoa; Chordata; Lepidosauria; Squamata; Teiidae
Description: lncRNA (ENSSMRG00000017632.1)
Source: RNAcentral